AUAGGAAUAAGUCUCUUUUUAGUAAUGUUUCGCAACUCUACUAUAACGAAUUUAUUCCUUUUU
This is a non-coding RNA of Streptococcus sinensis, 63 nucleotides long. Lineage: Bacteria; Bacillati; Bacillota; Bacilli; Lactobacillales; Streptococcaceae. The record is from Rfam.